Long non-coding RNA from Musca domestica (house fly), 1210 nucleotides. RefSeq lists it as uncharacterized. The record is from RefSeq and is a predicted model, not a curated record. The transcript has 4 exons. Lineage: Eukaryota; Metazoa; Arthropoda; Insecta; Diptera; Muscidae.
CGUUGACAACGUUUUGGUUAUUUUUUGUUUAUUUUUCUUACAGUGAUGUUAAUCACAAUAAGUGUUUUGACAACUCAUUUUGAUGGUCAGCUGCCGCAAAUGGAGUAUUUUUUGAUUGUGCUAUGAUUGCUGCUAUGGAAUAUUGGUAAAUUGUAGAUCUUUCUAGUCAAAGGAAAGGAUCACAAUACUGCAAGAGUUUAAGGAAGGGCACCUUAUAAGGCCAAUAUGCUCCUGCCUUAAUUUGAAAGUUAAUGAGAUUUAUUGGUCCAAUAAAUGCACCAAUCCUAUAACUCUUGAUGGCAGCACAUAGACGAACAUAGACGUAUUUAUGUAUCCCACAUUCAAUAUAAAAAAUUUACUGUUGCAAAAGUGGAAACUGGAAAUAGUAAACAACUUCUUAUCAUAUUUUGCUGGGACGCCCACACAAUAUCAUAAAUAUUGGUUAUGACGUAAAUGUCGGACACAUUUUCAUAGCUGAGAAAUGAACGACACAGAAUUCCAAUAAGAACCAUAUGGCGUUUUCAUUCAUUCAUGCGAACCUUUGACGACAUAGCUGCAGUUUUCUUUCUUUGCAAAAAGGAAUGAAAUGGGGGAUAUUGCUACACAUUCCCCAUUAGGUAGGGAGUAGUAAAUUGCCUCCCGUUGGCCAUUGACGCAUUUCGCUACUCAUCUGUCCCCGUAAACCCGGUAUCCACAAAUAACAGUCCCAGUUGUUUAGCCAGCAACAUUUUGUUAGAAUUUUUAUAUCUUUGUAUGUGUAUAAAUGUUGUGACGUAGUCUAAGUCAAAAUGAAAUGAAAGCACGUACACAAGAUACUCCUAGGCCCCCACCGUUCCCUUCCAAAUGUUGCCAUUAAAAGUCGCCUAACACCCAUUGCCAUUAUCAACACCAAGAGUCAAGCAACCAAUCUACUACUCCCCCUACUGUUAUAUAUUCAACAACCACCGUGGGGAAUCUGUGAGAAAUUGAGAGGGAGAUUUUGAGAGCUCUCCGAGAAAGCAAAUAUUAACUACAUUAUUGAGCAAAUGUCAGCCGUAAAACAACAAGAGAUAGAGAGAGAGGGAGUUAAUAUUGACAUAGAGAGCGUGUUAUGUUGGGGUUUGUUUUUGAGACUGGAAUGCCACCUACGCUAGGCAUUUUCUUGUGAUACAUGUAUAUUUCGUAAUGAAAUUAGCUAAAAGGAAAAUAAAUAUGAUUAGAAAUAUUUUAA